RNAcentral lists this long non-coding RNA (1331 nucleotides) under Sus scrofa (pig). RNAcentral's name for it is "lncRNA (ENSSSCG00030009575.1)". Lineage: Eukaryota; Metazoa; Chordata; Mammalia; Artiodactyla; Suidae. The record is from RNAcentral.
AUUUCAAAUUUGGUGUAAUUCAAAUCUGCAUAAAAUAUGAAGAGCAGCAGUAAAUGUAACUACAUAAGUAUAUAGAAAGUACAUUGAGAACUAUGUCUAGAUACUCAUAUUGCAACAGAACAAAGGGUGGGGGAAAAAUGUAUAUGUAAGGAUAACUUGAUCCCCUUGGUGUACAGUGGGAAAAAAAUGAAUAAACAAUUGCAAUAUGUAAUGCAAUAUAGCACAAAGGAGGGAGAGGAAACAACUAUAUUGUAGCAAUCUCUCUGUAUGCUUUCUAAGUUGUUAAAAUUAAUCUGAACCAGAUUGUAAUUGUAAUCUUGAGGUCACCCACUAAGAAAACAACUAAAAAAUAUGUAGUAAAAAAACAGCAAAAUAGUACUUUAGACAAUAUCUGUGUAACACAAUUGAAGGUAGUAAUGGAAAAAUAGAAGAAAAAGAUAAGACAUAUCAAACAAAGCAAAUGGCAGACAUAAAUGCUAUCUUAUCAGUAAUAUUAAAUAGAAAGGCAGAGAUUGGAAAAGUGGAUAAAUUGAUCCAAACGUGGAUAAAUUGAAAUGUCUGCUGUCUUUUAAGAGAUCUAUGUUGUGUUCAAGGGCACAAAUAGGUUGAAAGUAAAAGAAUGGAAAAAUAUGCCAGGCAGACAGCAUCCGAAGAGAGUUAAGGUGGCUGUGUAAACAUGAGACAAAAUAUAUUUUAAGACAAAAUUUUUAUAACAUACAAACAAAAACAUUUUAUAAAACUGUCACUAUAUCAGGAAGAUGUAAAGUUAUAAACAUAUGCACUUAACAAUGGUGCCCCAAAAUACAUGAAGCAAAAGAGGACAGAAUUGAAGGGAGAAAUAAUCUAACAGUAAUAGUUGGAGACUUCAAUACUGUACUUUCAAUAAUGGAUAAAACUACUAGACAGCUCAGUGAGUAAAUAGAAGAAGUGAACAACACUGUAAACCAAGAAGAUCUUCUACAGACAUCUGUAGAACACUCCACACAACAACAGCAGAAAACACAUUCUUAAGUGUACAUGGAACAUUUUCCAGGAAAGACCCUCUGUUAGGCCACAAAAUAUGCCUGAAUAUAUUUAUUUAUAGAAAGUGUGUUCUGUAGCCACAGUGGGAUGAAAUUACAAAUCAAUAACAGAAGAAUAUUUUGGCAGUUCACAAAUAUGUGGAAAUUAAAUAUCAGACUCCUAAGUAACCAGUUGGUAAAAGAAGAAAUCACAAAGGAAAUUAGAAAAUACUUCAGAAUGAAUAAAAAUGAAAACACAAUGUGGCAAAAUUGAUGGGAUGCAGUAAAAGCAGUGCUUAGGGGAAAAUUUAUAGCUUUAAAUGCCUACAU